Molecule: ribosomal RNA, 227 nt
Filed under: Geobacillus stearothermophilus
Lineage: Bacteria; Bacillati; Bacillota; Bacilli; Caryophanales; Anoxybacillaceae
Description: partial 16S ribosomal RNA
Rfam family: Bacterial small subunit ribosomal RNA
Source: RNAcentral
CCUGCAUGAAGCCGGAAUCGCUAGUAAUCGCGGAUCAGCAUGCCGCGGUGAAUACGUUCCCGGGCCUUGUACACACCGCCCGUCACACCACGAGAGCUUGCAACACCCGAAGUCGGUGAGGUAACCCGCAAGGGAGCCAGCCGCCGAAGGUGGGGCAAGUGAUUGGGGUGAAGUCGUAACAAGGUAGCCGUACCGGAAGGUGCGGCUGGAUCACCUCCUUUCUAAGG